RNAcentral lists this ribosomal RNA (495 nucleotides) under uncultured bacterium. RNAcentral describes it as "partial 16S ribosomal RNA". It matches the Rfam family "Bacterial small subunit ribosomal RNA", at positions 28 to 507 of the family's 1533-position model. The record is from RNAcentral.
GACGAACGCUGGCGGCGUGCCUAAUACAUGCAAGUAGAACGCUGAAGGAGGAGCUUGCUUCUCUGGAUGAGUUGCGAACGGGUGAGUAACGCGUAGGUAACCUGCCUGGUAGCGGGGGAUAACUAUUGGAAACGAUAGCUAAUACCGCAUAAGAGUAGAUGUUGCAUGACAUUUGCUUAAAAGGUGCAAUUGCAUCACUACCAGAUGGCCCUGCGUUGUAUUAGCUAGUUGGUGGGGUAACGGCUCACCAAGGCGACGAUACAUAGCCGACCUGAGAGGGUGAUCGGCCACACUGGGACUGAGACACGGCCCAGACUCCUACGGGAGGCAGCAGUAGGGAAUCUUCGGCAAUGGACGGAAGUCUGACCGAGCAACGCCGCGGGAGUGAAGAAGGUUGUCGGAUCGUAAAGCUCUGUUGUAAGAGAAGAACGAGUGUGAGAGUGGAAAGUUCACAAUGUGACGGUAGCUUACCAGAAAGGGACGGCUAACUACGUG